GGGAGCGGCAGACGGGAGAGUAACACGUGGGAACGUGCCCUUUGGCUCGGAAUAACCCAGGGAAACUUGGACUAAUACCGGAUAAGCCCUAACGGGGAAAGAUUUAUCGCCGAAGGAUCGGCCCGCGUCUGAUUAGCUUGUUGGUGAGGUAACGGCUCACCAAGGCUACGAUCAGUAGCUGGUCUGAGAGGAUGAUCAGCCACACUGGGACUGAGACACGGCCCAGACUCCUACCGGAGGCAGCAGUGGGGAAUAUUGGACAAUGGGCGCAAGCCUGAUCCAGCCAUGCCGCGUGAGUGAUGAAGGCCCUAGGGUUGUAAAGCUCUUUCGACGGGGACGAUAAUGACGGUACCCGUAGAAGAAGCCCCGGCUAACUUCGUGCCAGCAGCCGCGGUAAUACGAAGGGGGCUAGCGUUGUUCGGAAUUACUGGGCGUAAAGCGCACGUAGGCGGGUCGUUUAGUUGGGGGUGGAAUCCCAGGGCUCAACCCUGGAACUGCCUCAUAAACUCCUGGUCUAGAGUUCGAGAGAGGUGAGUGGAAUUCCGAGUGUAGAGGUGAAAUUCGUAGAUAUUCGGAGGAACACCAGUGGCGAAGGCGGCUCACUGGCUCGAUACUGACGCUGAGGUAAAAGUGUGGGGAGCAAACACCGGAUUAGAUACCCUGGUAGUCCACACCGUAAACGAUGAAUGCCAGUCGUCGGGUAGCAUGCUAUUCGGUGACACACCUAACGGAUUAAGCAUUCCGCCUGGGGAGUACGGUCGCAAGAUUAAAACUCAAAGGAAUUGACGGGGGCCCUCACAAUCGGUGGAGCAUGUGGUUUAAUUCGUAGCAACGCGCAGAACCUUACCAACCCUUGACAUCCCUGUCGCGGCUACCGGAGACGGUAGCCUUCUGUUCGGCUGGACAGAUGACAGGUGCUGCAUGGCUGUCGUCAGCUCGUGUCGUGAGAUGUUCGGUUAAGUCCGGCAACGAGCGCAACCCACACCCUUAGUUGCCAGCAGUUCGGCUGGGCACUCUAGGGGAACUGCCCGUGAUAAGCGGGAGGAAGGUGUGGAUGUCGUCAAGUCCUCAUGGCCCUUACGGGUUGGGCUACACACGUGCUACAAUGGUGGUGACAGUGGGUUAAUCCCCAAAAGCCAUCUCAGUUCGGAUUGUCGUCUGCAACUCGACGGCAUGAAGUCGGAAUCGCUAGUAAUCGCGUAACAGCAUGACGCGGUGAAUACGUUCCCGGGCCUUGUACACACCGCCCGUCACACCAUGGGAGUUGGUUUUACCCGAAGGCCGUGCGCUAACUCUUCGGAGGGGCAGCGGACC
Molecule: ribosomal RNA, 1314 nt
Filed under: uncultured prokaryote
Description: partial 16S ribosomal RNA
Rfam family: Bacterial small subunit ribosomal RNA
Source: RNAcentral